CUUUGGCCGUCCGAGUUGUAGUCUGGAGAAGUGCUUUCCGCGCUGGACCGUGUAUAAGUCUCUUGGAAGCUUGACGUCAUAGAGGGCUGACCCUACGCUAUGACACGGACUACCAGUGCUUUGUGAUGCGCUCUCGAAGAGUCGAGUUGUUUGGGAAUGCAGCUCAAAAUGGGUGGUGAAUUCCAUCUAAAGCUAAAUAUUGGCGAGAGACCGAUAGCGAACAAGUAGGCUGAGAGGGAAAGAUGAAAAGCACUUUGGAAAGAGAGUUGCUGAGUACGAAAUUGCUGAAAGGGAAACGCUUGAAGUCAGUCGCGUUGUCCGGGACUCAGCCUUGCUUUCGCUUGGUGCACUUUCCGGAUAACGGGCCAGCAUCGAUUUUGACCGUCGGAAAAGGGCUAGGGUAAUGUGGCACCUCCGGGUGUUCGACUCGGCUACAGUCGCAUACGGCGGUCGGGAU
Molecule: ribosomal RNA, 457 nt
Filed under: Amauroderma sp.
Lineage: Eukaryota; Fungi; Basidiomycota; Agaricomycetes; Polyporales; Polyporaceae
Description: eukaryotic LSU rRNA
Rfam family: Eukaryotic large subunit ribosomal RNA
Source: RNAcentral